CACACACUGUAACGUGGUCAUACUGUAGGAGCUUGGGUUUACAGACAGACAGAGACAGACACUGUAACGUGGUCAUACUGUAGGAGCUUGGGUUUACAGACAGACAGAGAGAGAGACACACACUGUAACGUGGUCAUACUGUAGGAGCUUGGGUUUACAGACAGACAGAGACAGACACUGUAACGUGGUCAUACUGUAGGAGCUUGGGUUUACAGACAGACAGAGAGAGAGACACACACUGUAACAUGGUCAUACUGUAGGAGCUUGGAGAGAGAGACAGACAGAGAGAGAGACACACACUGUAACAUGGUCAUACUGUAGGAGCUUGGGUUUACAGACAGACAGAGACAGACACUGUAACGUGGCCAUGCUGUAGGAGCUUGGGUUUACAGACAGACAGAGACAGACAGAGAGAGACACAGAGAGAGAGAGAGAGAUCCACCCACAGCGCAGUAGCUCAUGGUGACCUGCCUAUCUGUCUGUCCAUCCGUCUGUCUAUCUAUCUCAUUGUGUUUUAGCCGACUAAGGCCUGAGGCUACAAGUCUUUCAUUAAGCAAGGAGAUUCACUCCAGCACAGCUAUAGGUUCCAACAUGUAGACUACAUGCUAAAUGCUAGCCGUGUGGCUAACUGAAACUACCAUAGACAAGACUGUUGAGGGUAGCAAGUAACAAUGUAACAAAAUUGUGCAGUUAAUGAGAAAGAAAAAAAAGACAGAAUAAUGAAUGUAAAAUGCCAGGCAAACCGAUACUCUUUCUCAGUCUAGAAGACACACAGCCAAACACCGACAAAACCCAGACCAACAUCCCACACCGACAAAACCCACACAGAUAUCCCAGACCGACAAAACCCAGACCAACAUCCCAGACCGACAAAACCCAGACCAACAUCCCAGACCGACAAAACCCAGACCAACAUCCCAGACCGACAAAACCCAGACCAACAUCCCAGACGGACAAAACCCAGACCAACAUCCCAGACCGACAAAAUCCCAGACCGACAAAACCCACACCGACAUCCCAG
Molecule: long non-coding RNA, 1021 nt
Organism: Oncorhynchus tshawytscha (Chinook salmon)
Lineage: Eukaryota; Metazoa; Chordata; Actinopteri; Salmoniformes; Salmonidae
Source: Ensembl